This 760-nucleotide ribosomal RNA is filed under the name uncultured archaeon. RNAcentral describes it as "bacterial SSU rRNA". It matches the Rfam family "Archaeal small subunit ribosomal RNA", at positions 103 to 845 of the family's 1478-position model. The record is from RNAcentral.
GAUAACUGCCCUUAGAAGGAUGAUAACCUCGGGAAACUGAGGAUAAUACUCCAUAGGUGACAAGUGCUGGAAUGUCUGUCACNUAAAGGUGCUGUCGUUAUGUUCGACGGUUGCCGUCUAAGGAUAGAUCUGCGGCGGAUUAGGUUGAUGGCGAGGUAAAUGCUCACCAUGCCUACGAUCCGUACCGGCUAUGAGAGUAGGAGCCGGGAGAUGGGUACUGAGACACGGACCCGGGCCCUACGGGGUGCAGCAGGCGCGAAACCUCUACAAUGCACGAAAGUGUGAUAGGGGAACCCCGAGUGCUUCUGUAAAACAGGAGCUUUUGUAAUGUGUAAAAAGCAUUACGAAUAAAGGCUGGGUAAGACCGGUGCCAGCCUCCGCGGUAACACCGGCAGCUUAAGUGGUAGCCGUUAUUAUUGGACUUAAAGCGUACGUAGUCGGUUUGGCAAGUUCUCUGGUGAAAUCCUGCGGCUUAACUGUAGGGCUUGCAGAGAAUACUACCAGACUUGAGGUCGGGAAGGGUCAGGGGUAUUUAUAGGGUAGCAGUGAAAUGUGUUAAUCCUAUGAGGACCACCUGUGGCGAAGGCGCCUGACUGGAACGAGCCUGACGAUGAGGGACGAAAGCUAGGGGAGCAAACCGGAUCAGAUACCCGGGUAGUCCUAGCCGUAAACGAUGUGAGUUGAGUGUUGCAGGAAUCUUCGUGUUUCUGCAGUGUUGAAGGGAAACCGUUAAGCUCACCGUCUGGGGAGUAUGGUCGCA